Molecule: unclassified non-coding RNA, 250 nt
Filed under: plant metagenome
Description: partial contains small subunit ribosomal RNA, internal transcribed spacer 1, and 5.8S ribosomal RNA
Rfam family: Eukaryotic small subunit ribosomal RNA (bases 1-54)
Source: RNAcentral
GGAAGUAAAAGUCGUAACUAGGUUUCCGUAGGUGAACCUGCGGAAGGAUCAUUACAGUGUUCCCUGCCCUUCGGGGUAGGAUCGCCACCCUUGAUUAUUUAUGAGUGUUGCUUUGGCGGGCCUCGCGGCCUGGCCGCGCCCCGGCUUCGGCGGGGGAGCGCCCGCCAGAGGAUUCUACAAACCUGAUUAUUAGUGUCGUCUGAGUACUAUAUAAUAGUUAAAACUUUCAACAACGGAUCUCUUGGUUCUG